This 215-nucleotide long non-coding RNA is filed under the name Mytilus galloprovincialis (Mediterranean mussel). The record is from RNAcentral. Lineage: Eukaryota; Metazoa; Mollusca; Bivalvia; Mytilida; Mytilidae.
UGGUAUUAGUGAAAAAUCAGUUUCGAAAAAUUUAAAAAUAUGCUCGUGGAAUAUUUCAAAGGGCUUACUACGUAAAUUAGCAGACGAUGAAUUUGUAAAUAUGUUGUGUGAAUACGAUGUUAUAUGUUUUAAUGAGUGUUGGGUCAAAUGCCCUAAGGAAUUCGAUGUAAUUGGAUAUGAAAAGAAGUAUUUAUCUAGAGAAAAGUGUAACGGGG